Molecule: ribosomal RNA, 250 nt
Filed under: uncultured bacterium
Lineage: Bacteria
Description: partial 16S ribosomal RNA
Rfam family: Bacterial small subunit ribosomal RNA
Source: RNAcentral
UACAGAGGGUGCGAGCGUUGUCCGGAAUCACUGGGCGUAAAGGGCGCGUAGGUGGCUCGCCAAGCGUGCGGUGAAAGCCCGGGGCUCAACUCCGGGUCGGCCGUGCGAACUGGCGGGCUUGAGCUCGGUAGAGGCCGAUGGAAUUCCGGGUGUAGCGGUGGAAUGCGUAGAGAUCCGGAAGAACACCGGUGGCGAAGGCGGUCGGCUGGGCCGAUGCUGACACUGAUGCGCGACAGCGUGGGGAGCAAAC